UUCCCUCCUCCUGAUUGGGUGAACUGCAGCCGGAGCCGCGCCCCGUUGCCCAUUUCCCGCGCAGGGAUUGGUGGGAGUGAUUGUCAAUCAGAUCUGACGGUGUCGUGACGGUGGUAACUGUCAAGUCAAGUGAAGUUAAGUGGGGAGCUGGCCGGUGUCUCAGUUCAUCAGUCAGUCUGAUUGCUGGCGCAGUGAGAGUGGACUUAUUCUAAUCAGGGGAAAAGUAUACAGUCACUUACUAGCGGCAUUGCUGGCUGACCCAACUAGCUAAGAAGGAAAGCUCCGAGCUCUGGUAAAGAGGGUGAUGGUCGCCGACUUGUCAUUGACGAAUCAUCAGUUACUGAGAGGACUGAAGCAGCGAGGCGCCGCUGGGACAGAGACUUUCAUGGGGAGUUCGUUCACUCUUCUGCAGCCUGGAGGGUGGUGAUGUGAAUGAGGAUUGAAUUCCAUGAAUUACUCUGGCUAUCCGACAGCCGUUCUUCACUGGCUAGUUUUAUGUCCGUGUCAAGCAGCUAAAGCUGCCAGUUGAAGAACUGUUGAGGUUGGCUAUUUGCAACGGGACGAUGAAGAGGAUGUGACUGUGUGGCUCUGUGGGCCAGAAGGGACUUAACUGUUCUAGUCUUGUAAAGGACAUGUCUCAGAAAAGGAAACUGACACCUCGCUUCAAUAAAGGAGACUUGGAGAUGCUGGUGGACAGGAGAGAGCCAUCCGCUUCCCUGUGAACCAGCAAAGGAGGCCAUGCCAACAGCACAGCCAGUCUAGACACAAACAGCACAGCCCAGGUCAGUGCUAUUCCACAGAUGAAAAAAAACCCAGUAAUGCUGCAAGAAAAUCAAUGCUUUUCUGUGCUCCACAAGGGUAAGUUACAUUAUCUCCUUUCUGCUACCUUACAUUCACUCUCACUCUGCCACUGCAUAGAAACAUUAGACUUCGUAAUGUUCUACAAUUCUCAUUAUUGCAUGCAGCCACUCAACAGCUCUAAUCCACCUCAUUCUCUUAAACUACUAGCCCUUCUUGCCCUCUGUGAUUCCUACUCAGUCAUUGGGAACAGUUCACCACCAUCAACUGCUCUUCCAUCCACGUUUUGCUCACUUAAUCCCUCCUUUUGUCUCAUUGCAAGAGAAGAUGUAUCACAGUCUGGCAGAGAAAGCCAGAAUGAACAGUGAUGUGGCUAGCAUUCAGUGCCUAAGCCCCUGUGAAGAGAAAUCCUCAAAAUGGUUGGAGUGAAUAGAGACCUCAUGUGGAAGUACUGAGAACUUCAUGUUGAGGUAGUCCAGUAAGAUUCAUUGUGCUAUGCUGCAUUGGACUUUCACUACAACCAGUCAACAUUCUUAAAAUACUCAAAUUUCAAACCCUUGUACAAUUAAUGACCUCUCUCUUUAUUUUUAAGGCAGGCAUCAGCAGCACCUCAUCCCUAUGAGGACCUCUACUUCUGAGGAAAAAGUCACAGAUCCCUCAAAGGAUGCACCAACAAGCUUUUCUCCACCAGCUCAGUGAUUUUCAGGGAUGGUGUUGUUCUUUUCAGGAAGAUUAGAUACAAAUUCACUUCCUGGAACAGCCUCUUCCAAGAAUUUAUAUUUCGACACCACAAUGUUUGGCAAAGUUUCUUUGCAGCAGAUGUCUUGUUUGCUUUAGCACAAAUGUUAUGAUGUGGUUUUUGUGGAGCCAACCAAAUGUUAAUAAAUUUCAAAAGAAAAACAAUUUUUCCACCGUUAAUAUCAAUGAUACGUCUUAAAUUGAGUUAUUGCACACCAAAUUUUACUCUGUUAAAAAGUCAGCAAUUUCAUUAGAAUGAUGAAAUCACAGAUUAUUAUCUCUUUCAUUUUACGAUCUGACAAUCAUGAAAUGGCAAUACCAUACAUUAAAGCAGGACAGCACUUCGUACACAUAGGAACUCGCAAUCUUCCAACUUCGAAAGUAACCCUCUGCUGAAAGGCUCAGUCACUAAACCUCUAAACACUCCUCAAGCAGCAAAGGAACUACCAUUGGCAAAGGCCGGGUAAGGAAUUCAGUGCAGAUUUUUGAUUUUGAGAGGUGCAGAAAAUAAGUUUAUGAAAGGAAUAGGAAGAAAAUUAAAGAAUGGAAUAUCCUGGUUUACAUUUUGUUCAAUUUCUCUGCUGGAUAUUUUUGUGACAACCAUCUUGUUGGAUGAGAUGUGCUACUGAGCCUGAUGGUGAGGGAGCUGAAUUAACAUAAAAACAUUAGUGGUUUAACCCAGGAUACAGCAGAAAAAGCAUCAUUCAAUGUGCACUAAUUUCUCUAAAUCAUACUGUUCGCAUUGGUCCUCACUAUUCCAACCCAGUGUUUUCCCUUUCUGAAACUAACAAAAUAUUUAAGUAAAAUGAAGGAAGUAUCAAGCAUUUUUUGUGGGCAGUUAUGGAAGUAAUUUUUGGAAGUUCUAAAAUAAUGAGAGCUAAAACAAAAGUGUCCUGCAGUGCUGAACUGUGACAUGCACCAAAAUGACUUGAUGUGUAGUAUUUUUUUAAAAAUUUAGCUAUGCAGAACAGCACAACUACAAUUCACAGCAAGUGAAGAAUACCAGGCAUUCUUCAAAGAUUCUUUCCAGAUCAUGAGGAAGUUAAUGUAGACAGACAAGAAUUUGUUUGAGGCGAAAUUGGACAACCCUCAAUCAGGUGAGGGGAUCACAAUUAAUCUGUGCCCUUUUUAUGUAAUGCAGGUCAGCAUCACAUGGCAUCAGACUCUGCUGUUCAUUGACUGCACAUUGGCAGAGGACCCAAAACCAUUAUUUGCUAACACUACUUAGAGCCAAUUUUUAACCAGUCUGGCCAGUAUCCAGUACUAUGUGACUUUCUAUUCAGUUGUUUGUGCCUUACAGUUAUAUUACUGAAGCACCAGCAUGGGUCCGAAGCUUAUUCUCUAUUCCAUAUGCAGCAGCCUCAAAACAACCUGGCCAUAGAAAAUGGAUUGUUUUUUUUGAGUUUUAUUUCCAUGUCCACUCUCUUUGAAUCUUCCCAGCAAGAAGAAUCAGAAAAAGUCAGUAAUACUUUGAAAUGAAUACACUAAUUGUAGUAGUCUUCCAUUUUGAAAUAUACAGGACAAGUAGGACCAGUAUGUCUCAUUUGCCAGUUUUACUGGGUUUUUUUCCUCCAGCAAUGAUUUUUUCUGAAUGCAGAGAAUGGACUGUGUCCACUAUUGUUGAUUAUUUAUAUUAAAUGAUUUGGUUUAAAAUUUAGUGACAUGGUUGAUAGGUUUGUGGAAGUCGCCAAAAUUGGUGAUAUAGUCAACAGUGAAGAAGGUUAUCUAAGACUACAAUGGGAUCUUGAUCAAUUGGGCCACUGGCUGAGGAGUGACAAAUGCAAGGUAUUGCAUUUUGGUAAAACUA
Chiloscyllium plagiosum (whitespotted bambooshark) is the source of this 3343-nucleotide non-coding RNA. The record is from RefSeq and is a predicted model, not a curated record. NCBI's taxonomy places the organism in Eukaryota, Metazoa, Chordata, Chondrichthyes, Orectolobiformes, Hemiscylliidae.